AUUUUGGUCGAUGGGUGGAAGCCUGAUUGAGCCAUCCCUCGCGUGUGAUGAAGGUCUUCGGAUUGUAAAGCACUCUAAGUUGGGAGGAAGGGCAGUAAGUUAAUAUCUUGCUGUUUUGACGUUCCCUACAGAAUAGGCACCGGCUAACUUCUUGCCAGCAGCCUCGGUAAUACGAAGGGUGCAAGCGUUAAUCGGAAUUAUUGGGCGUAAGGAGCGCGUAGGUGGUUUGUUGAGUUGGAAGGGAAAGAACCGGGCUAAACCUGGGAACUGCUUUCAAAACUGGCAAGCUAGAGUAUGGCAGAGGGUGGUGGAAUUUCCUGUGUGGCGGUGAAAUGCGUAGAUAUAGGAAGGAAAAACAGUGGCGAAGGCGACAUACUGGCUAAUUACUGACGCUGAGGCGCGAAAGCGUGGGGAGCAAACAA
RNAcentral lists this ribosomal RNA (422 nucleotides) under uncultured bacterium. Its description in RNAcentral is "partial 16S ribosomal RNA". It matches the Rfam family "Bacterial small subunit ribosomal RNA", at positions 361 to 775 of the family's 1533-position model. The record is from RNAcentral.